RNAcentral lists this ribosomal RNA (394 nucleotides) under uncultured archaeon. RNAcentral describes it as "bacterial SSU rRNA". It matches the Rfam family "Archaeal small subunit ribosomal RNA", at positions 604 to 997 of the family's 1478-position model. The record is from RNAcentral.
GAGGGUAAGAGGUACUACAGGGGUAGGAGUGAAAUCUUGUAAUCCCUGUGGGACCACCUGUGGCGAAGGCGUCUUACCAGAACGGGUUCGACGGUGAGGGACGAAAGCUGGGGGCACGAACCGGAUUAGAUACCCGGGUAGUCCCAGCCGUAAACGAUGCUCGCUAGGUGUCAGGCAUGGCGCGACCGUGUCUGGUGCCGCAGGGAAGCCGUGAAGCGAGCCACCUGGGAAGUACGGCCGCAAGGCUGAAACUUAAAGGAAUUGGCGGGGAGCACAACAACGGGUGGAAGCCUGCGGUUUAAUUGGACUCAACGCCGGACAACUCACCGGGGGCGACAGCAAUAUGUAGGCCAAGCUGAAGACUUUGCCUGAAUCGCUGAGGAGAGGUGCAUGG